Amblyraja radiata (thorny skate) is the source of this 464-nucleotide long non-coding RNA. RefSeq lists it as uncharacterized. The transcript has 3 exons. Lineage: Eukaryota; Metazoa; Chordata; Chondrichthyes; Rajiformes; Rajidae. The record is from RefSeq and is a predicted model, not a curated record.
UUGAGUUCCUCCAGCAGUUUCUUGGUUUGUGAGCGUCUUUAUAUCAUAUUUCUCAUGUCAGCAGUUUUACUCGGCCAGGUAUCACGCCCGGAGCGAGGAACAAAGGGAGGUAUCAAUCACAGGCGAACCUUCUGUUGUGUUUGGAUAUCCCUGACGCCAAUCAUAGAGAGGACGAGCUUGGAUCGCAGGGCGUUAGUUAAAAACAAAGAUCUUAGAGCGGUGGGUUCACGGCGUUCACGGCGAGCUCAUCUGAGCUUUGGCGUUGUCCGUGAAGCCGCUGUACAAACUCGGGGCGUUUCUGUGGCUUGUGGCAGGUGAUUGCUGAUUUUUUUUAAAUCGCAACCUCUGUGUUGCCUUUACCUGCUGCAACAGGGCAUUGAACAGGGGAGCAGGCUGUUGGAGUCGGCAACUGCUGGAUUUCCUCAUUUAACUGCACAUAUAAACUGGCAGCAGCAUGCACUUCG